UACAGAGGGUGCGAGCGUUGUCCGGAAUCACUGGGCGUAAAGGGCGCGUAGGUGGCGGCCCAAGUCCAUGGUGAAAGCUCGAUGCUCAACAUCGAGUCGGCCACGGAUACUGGGUCUCGCUCGAGCACUGUAGGGGCAGAUGGAAUUCCGGGUGUAGCGGUGGAAUGCGUAGAGAUCCGGAAGAACACCGGUGGCGAAGGCGGUCUGCUGGGCAGUUGCUGACACUGAGGCGCGAAAGCUAGGGGAGCAAACAGGAGUUAGAAACCCU
This 268-nucleotide ribosomal RNA is filed under the name uncultured bacterium. RNAcentral's name for it is "partial 16S ribosomal RNA". It matches the Rfam family "Bacterial small subunit ribosomal RNA", at positions 524 to 788 of the family's 1533-position model. The record is from RNAcentral.